Molecule: ribosomal RNA, 771 nt
Filed under: uncultured bacterium
Lineage: Bacteria
Description: bacterial SSU rRNA
Rfam family: Bacterial small subunit ribosomal RNA
Source: RNAcentral
AGAGUUUGAUCAUGGCUCAGGACGAACGCUGGCGGCGUGCUUAACACAUGCAAGUCGAACGGAAAGGCCCUUCGGGGUACUCGAGUGGCGAACGGGUGAGUAACACGUGGGUGAUCUGCCCUGCACUUUGGGAUAAGCCUGGGAAACUGGGUCUAAUACCGAAUAGGACCACGCGCUUCAUGGUGUGUGGUGGAAAGCCUUUGCGGUGUGGGAUGGGCCCGCGGCCUAUCAGCUUGUUGGUGGGGUAAUGGCCUACCAAGGCGACGACGGGUAGCCGGCCUGAGAGGGUGACCGGCCACACUGGGACUGAGAUACGGCCCAGACUCCUACGGGAGGCAGCAGUGGGGAAUAUUGCACAAUGGGCGCAAGCCUGAUGCAGCGACGCCGCGUGAGGGAUGACGGCCUUCGGGUUGUAAACCUCUUUCAAUAGGGACGAAGCGCAAGUGACGGUACCUAUAGAAGAAGCACCGGCCAACUACGUGCCAGCAGCCGCGGUAAUACGUAGGGUGCGAGCGUUGUCCGGAAUUACUGGGCGUAAAGAGCUCGUAGGUGGUUUGUCGCGUUGUUCGUGAAAACUCACAGCUUAACUGUGGGCGUGCGGGCGAUACGGGCAGACUAGAGUACUGCAGGGGAGACUGGAAUUCCUGGUGUAGCGGUGGAAUGCGCAGAUAUCAGGAGGAACACCGGUGGCGAAGGCGGGUCUCUGGGCAGUAACUGACGCUGAGGAGCGAAAGCGUGGGGAGCGAACAGGAUUAGAUACCCUGGUAGUCC